RNAcentral lists this ribosomal RNA (374 nucleotides) under uncultured organism. Its description in RNAcentral is "partial 16S ribosomal RNA". It matches the Rfam family "Bacterial small subunit ribosomal RNA", at positions 527 to 897 of the family's 1533-position model. The record is from RNAcentral.
GAAGGGGGCUAGCGUUGCUCGGAAUCACUGGGCGUAAAGGGCGCGUAGGCGGCCGAUUAAGUCGGGGGUGAAAGCCUGUGGCUCAACCACAGAAUUGCCUUCGAUACUGGUUGGCUUGAGACCGGAAGAGGACAGCGGAACUGCGAGUGUAGAGGUGAAAUUCGUAGAUAUUCGCAAGAACACCAGUGGCGAAGGCGGCUGUCUGGUCCGGUUCUGACGCUGAGGCGCGAAAGCGUGGGGAGCAAACAGGGAUUAGAUACCCUGGUAGUCCACGCCGUAAACGAUGAAUGCCAGCCCGUUGGCCUGCUUGCAGGUCAGUGGCGCCGCUAACGCAUUAAGCAUUCCCGCCCUGGGGAGUACGGUCGCAGGAUUAA